CCCCUCUCAGGGUCACACCUGGAGAGUUUCCAGUAUUCAACCAGCCUCGCCUAUGGGAGGGAGAGUCAAGCAGAGGCCUACCCAUUCCAUUCCUAGCUUGGGCGAUGGCUAGCGAGCGGAAGGCAGUCUGCUACAAGU
Molecule: small nucleolar RNA, 138 nt
Organism: Ornithorhynchus anatinus (platypus)
Lineage: Eukaryota; Metazoa; Chordata; Mammalia; Monotremata; Ornithorhynchidae
Source: RefSeq, a predicted model, not a curated record